UGAUGCAAUGCUUUCAGGAGCUCAAGCUGAU
RNAcentral lists this non-coding RNA (31 nucleotides) under Rattus norvegicus (Norway rat). Lineage: Eukaryota; Metazoa; Chordata; Mammalia; Rodentia; Muridae. The record is from RNAcentral.